This 385-nucleotide ribosomal RNA is filed under the name uncultured bacterium. Its description in RNAcentral is "bacterial SSU rRNA". It matches the Rfam family "Bacterial small subunit ribosomal RNA", at positions 30 to 416 of the family's 1533-position model. The record is from RNAcentral.
AUUGAACGCUGGCGGAAUGCUUUACACAUGCAAGUCGAACGGCAGCACGGGGCAACCUGGUGGCGAGUGGCGAACGGGUGAGUAAUACAUCGGAACGUGCCCAAUCGUGGGGGAUAACGUAGCGAAAGUUACGCUAAUACCGCAUACGAUCUACGGAUGAAAGCGGGGGAGUCGCAAGACCUCGCGCGAAUGGAGCGGCCGAUGUCAGAUUAGGUAGUUGGUGGGGUAAAGGCUCACCAAGCCAACGAUCUGUAGCUGGUCUGAGAGGACGACCAGCCACACUGGAACUGAGACACGGUCCAGACUCCUACGGGAGGCAGCAGUGGGGAAUUUUGGAUAAUGGGCGCAAGCCUGAUCCAGCCAUUCCGCGUGCAGGAUGAAGGCC